Lolium perenne is the source of this 606-nucleotide long non-coding RNA. RefSeq lists it as uncharacterized. NCBI's taxonomy places the organism in Eukaryota, Viridiplantae, Streptophyta, Magnoliopsida, Poales, Poaceae. The record is from RefSeq and is a predicted model, not a curated record.
AGUCGCGCGCGCGCUACUGAGCAUUUCUCCCGCAGGCCGCGCCGCGGCCCCGCCUCGUUGCCGGUUGCCCUCGUCGCCUCCGCCUCCGCCUCCAUGUGUCCCCCACCUACGGCGCACCCUGCCGGCGAGGUCGCUGCCAGAUCCCGCGGCGCCGAUCGCAGAACCAGCGCUCCGCUUCCGCUCCAUAGGUCACUCUCCGUGUUGCACUCCUACCUUUCCUAGGUCCAAUUUAAAACGGUCAACUUUGCAGGAUGGAUUUCGUUGUUGCACACAGCCUUCUCUCAUAUUGCAUCUUCCUUUUUUUGACUGGCUUUCAGCUGGCUGAUGUAUACUCCUCAAAUAAAGCUUCAGGGGUAUUAUUUGAGCCACUCGUGCUUCGCUCAAUCAUCCAUCAUGCAGCUGAUAAGGGAAAUAAAAUCUCCACUUUGCCAGGUCUGCGUGGUCUAUCAUUCACGUGGUGUCCAAUUUGUAUCCACCACUUCCAAGUAAUUGGUCGCAUGGUAUUUGUGUAAAUACUUCCUAUCACACUCAGUCCAUAAAAAUUCAAAGAUUGAGCAUUCAGACAGGAAAAUAACAGUUAUGGCUUCAUGCAUUGCGAUACAUCAA